Mercenaria mercenaria is the source of this 224-nucleotide long non-coding RNA. RefSeq lists it as uncharacterized. The record is from RefSeq and is a predicted model, not a curated record. The transcript has 3 exons. Lineage: Eukaryota; Metazoa; Mollusca; Bivalvia; Venerida; Veneridae.
GUGAACUGUCAAAUGUCAUAUAGGCCUCACACAGUUGAAAAUAGUGAAAAAAGUAAUCGGUAGACAGGUCUGCAUCUCGUAAGAUAUCGGAAGCCGUCUGACUUGGCCACAUCGCUCGGAAGUCCGAAGUACUAGAAAAAACCGCCAUCUGCUACCUUAAGACAUUUGUCAAUUUUUGUCUGCAUCUCGUAAGAUAUCGGAAGCCGUCUGACUUGGCCACAUCG